CACACGGAAGCCGCUUUAUGUAUGGGGCCGUCUCAAACGUCACCAUCCCACCCUGCCAACGUCACGUACGGAAAACUCACGCACGUUUCGCAAUCUGCUCUCAUCGGAGCAGCAUGUCCAGUAUGGUAUUUUACCUAUAGAUGUAUAAGGGGGUUUAUUUUCUAAUAUGGCAUUUUGAGAUGUGCUGGGACAGAUCAAGGAUUACUGCCCACCUAAAAUGAACAGUAUGCUUUUCAUUCCUCUUUUCAUGGCGAUUUUCUACCCACGUUUUACUUGUGUAUUUAUGACACAGACUGUUCUGUCACAUUUCUUCCAGCUGGAUAUAAAGGAAACAAUGGAAGGAACAUUUUCUCAAGAAAAAUUUCCUCCGUUACAGCCGAAAAAGACCGACUGGAUUGUAAAGUCACCAUCGAAACUAUAUUGAUCCUCACAGGGAGACUCAAUUUUCUUGCUCUCCUCUACAGGGAUGUCCAAAGCACAGGGUUAACUGCAGGGCAUCAACCCAGGAGCCGCUAGAGGUUCAGUGUUUUUACUCGAGGAUGCCCCAGGACGAGGAUCAAUGGCUGUUGACAAAGUACUCAAACCAACUGCAGUCUGCCACAUUGAUGCCCAAAUGGUUUAUGAGCCAGCUAGGAGUAUAAUUCCGAAUGUAUUGCGACACGCAUACAUGAUUAAACAGUUUGACCACAUGGACUUACAGGCUGAUUUCACACUCAUCCUUCCCAUUUCUGCCACUUCAUGAAGUUUUCACAGAUAUUAAUGGUCCCCAGGGGAUUCCUGAUGGUUUUGAUGACUACCUGACCUUUCAGAAGCUACUGUAAUGGCAAGAUUUCCAUAUAAUUUGCAGUGAUAAUUCGUGGGCCCUACAGGAUGAAUUCAAAUGCCUAUAGUGAUCACCUGCCCUUUAUAGCACCACUAUCAGAACAAGAUGGCAAUAUUUACUAUUCUUUCAGAGCAGGUUUUUAAAGACUUUUCAGGCUUUGUGUUCAGAGACUGUAAGAUUUUGAUCUGAUGAGGUCAGCACUUUAUUUCAUGACCUCAGAAGAUGUGUGGUGUAACAAGUUCUGUGGAUUGAAUGUAUUAUUGAGAAUACAAUACCUGUGUUAUUGUUCACACUGACUCUGCAACAUGAGUCAUCUGCCAGUAAAUGACUACCAUGCGA
This is a long non-coding RNA of Cottoperca gobio, 1162 nucleotides long. RefSeq lists it as uncharacterized. The record is from RefSeq and is a predicted model, not a curated record. The transcript is spliced from 2 exons. NCBI's taxonomy places the organism in Eukaryota, Metazoa, Chordata, Actinopteri, Perciformes, Bovichtidae.